This 54-nucleotide small RNA is filed under the name Arabidopsis thaliana (thale cress). Its description in RNAcentral is "ATSL051900". Lineage: Eukaryota; Viridiplantae; Streptophyta; Magnoliopsida; Brassicales; Brassicaceae. The record is from RNAcentral.
UUACCUCCUCCAGAUAGCUUUGUGAUGUCUUCUUCGCGUUGCAUGCUCGGGUUG